GGCUCAGAAUGAACGCUGGCGGCGUGCCUAACACAUGCAAGUCGAACGAGAAAGCCCGUCUUCGGAUGGGCGAGUAUAGUGGCGCACGGGUGAGUAACGCGUAGGCAACCUACCCUCGGGACCGGGAUAACAGUGCGAAAGCGGUGCUAAUACCGGAUACGACCGAAAGACGGGAGUUUUUCGGUGAAAGUCGGCCUCUCGCAGAAGCCGAUGUUCGAGGAUGGGCCUGCGUCCUAUCAGCUAGUUGGUAGGGUAACGGCCUACCAAGGCGACGACGGGUAGCUGGUCUGAGAGGAUGAUCAGCCACACUGGCACUGAAACACGGGCCAGACUCCUACGGGAGGCAGCAGUGAGGAAUUUUGCGCAAUGGCCGCAAGGCUGACGCAGCAACGCCGCGUGGGUGAAGAAGGCCUUCGGGUCGUAAAGCCCUGUCGGGUGGGAAGAAGUGUGUGGAGUUGAAUAGGCUUCACAUUUGACGGUACCACCAGAGGAAGCACCGGCUAACUCCGUGCCAGCAGCCGCGGUAA
RNAcentral lists this ribosomal RNA (527 nucleotides) under uncultured delta proteobacterium. Its description in RNAcentral is "bacterial SSU rRNA". It matches the Rfam family "Bacterial small subunit ribosomal RNA", at positions 21 to 523 of the family's 1533-position model. Lineage: Bacteria; Deltaproteobacteria. The record is from RNAcentral.